Populus nigra (black poplar) is the source of this 1337-nucleotide long non-coding RNA. RefSeq lists it as uncharacterized. The record is from RefSeq and is a predicted model, not a curated record. The transcript has 2 exons. NCBI's taxonomy places the organism in Eukaryota, Viridiplantae, Streptophyta, Magnoliopsida, Malpighiales, Salicaceae.
UAUAUAAAAAUCUUUUGUUAAGAAAAAAAAAAUCUAACCCAUGACGUGUCAGGUCAAGUUUCUGGUGUAUGUGUGUGUGCAAUGUUGAGCAUUUAAUUAAGGUUGCCUGAAUGAAAAGACAAUAAAAUCAUGGUAGUAAAAACCGUAUUGGAUGGUUGAUUUGUUAAACUCGAGACUCCAAGCUUGACUUCCAAUGGGGUUAUUAGUUUAGAUUUUAAUUUGAUAAAAGUCAUUAAAUUUCCAGUGAUUUGAAACCUGUGAAAUUGUGUCGACAAUAUUGUCAAGUUCCAACACAUUUUUCUUUGCCGCGUUUUCCCUCUAGAAAGUCUUCCUAGAGGCCUCAUCACGAAAAAUCAAACAAGAAAAAAAAUAAAUAAUAAAUUGAUAUAGAUAUGUGGAAGGUAGAAUAAAAUUAAAAAAAAAAACAUAUAAAAAAAAUUAGCAGAGAAUUGUGUUUUAUUGAUUAAAAAGAGAUUUUGUUCAGUUUUUUUAGGAGAAAGCUUGAGAGAAUAGGGUUUAAGGAUUGAAGUUGUAAUACAUGUUUUUUUUUUAAUGAUUUUUAAUAUGAUAGUAUUAAAAAUAAAUAAAUAAAAAAAUAAAUAUUAUUUUAAAAUAUUAUUAAUUAAAAAAAUACUCUUGAAAAUUCUCAUCCCCUCAUUUCCUGGAAAGAUCCAAUUCUAGACAAAAGACAAAGUCAACACCUGCCUUUGUCAACUUUCUCGAAAGCAGCAGCCGGUUGGGUAGCUUCGACGUUUCUCUCAUAUAAUACCUAACCGCCACAAAUUGCAAGAUUAGAUGGAUAUACUUCUAUCAGUAUUGUGCGAUGCAUGCCUCAAUAUCUCUUGAACCUUUAAUUUAUUAUGAAAUCUUUAAAUUACUAUUUUUUUAAUGUUAUUAAAUAUCAUGUGGAGAAGACAAUCAAAGACCAGAAAGUCUGGUUCAGAAAUGGCACAGAAGAAACGAUGUGAAAAGAAGAAGAGUAGAAGGAAACUGGUUCAAGCCACGCUGAGAACAAUGAUCUCAUGCCGUCCAUUGACUUGAACUUUUGAUGAGAAGAUGUAAGUUGGAAAAUCCCUGCAAUAUUUGACAAACUCCAAUGAAUUAUCUUUCGGGAUGCAAUAUUAUUAUCCUUCACACAUUACAGAAAGAGGAGGGUCAAUUGUUACAGAUGCAAAUUGCUUGGAACUGAUUGAAAGCGAGAGUUUAGCUACAAAUGCGCAAACAGAAACUGGCCAAACAAUCUCAAUAUGCAAUUCCUGGAAAUUGCGAAUGGAAGCAGUAGAAUCAAUGGCUUAUAUCAUGCUUGAUUAAAUAACAAAGUCUCUCUGUUUUUGUUA